Molecule: ribosomal RNA, 432 nt
Filed under: Bufotes pewzowi
Lineage: Eukaryota; Metazoa; Chordata; Amphibia; Anura; Bufonidae
Description: partial 12S ribosomal RNA
Rfam family: Bacterial small subunit ribosomal RNA
Source: RNAcentral
AAACUGGGAUUAGAUACCCCACUAUGCCCAGCCGUAAACUUUUAUUUACAUCCAAAUCGCCCGGGAACUACGAGCUAAGCUUAAAACCCAAAGGACUUGACGGUACCCCAUAUCCCCCUAGAGGAGCCUGUCCUAUAAUCGAUAAUCCACGUUUAACCUCACCACUUCUAGUUAAUCAGCCUGUAUACCUCCGUCGUCAGCUUACCACGUGAGCGUAAAUUAGUGAGCCCAAUGUUAUUUCACCAACACGUCAGGUCAAGGUGCAGCAAAUGAAGUGGGAAGAGAUGGGCUACACUUUCUAUUUUAGAAGAAACGAAAAACUACUUAUGAAACCUAGUUAGAAGGCGGAUUUAGCAGUAAAAAGAAAUCAGCAUGUUCAUUUUAACCCGGCACUGGGGUGUGUACACACCGCCCGUCACCCUCUGCAGUCAA